CGGGCUGUAGCAUAGUGGUAGUGUGCGCGAUUCGGGUUCGCGUGGUCUGGGUUCGAUUCCCAGCAGCCCGA
RNAcentral lists this transfer RNA (71 nucleotides) under Candidatus Taylorbacteria bacterium RIFCSPHIGHO2_01_FULL_43_120. RNAcentral describes it as "tRNA-Pro". It matches the Rfam family "tRNA". From Rfam's summary of the family: Transfer RNA (tRNA) molecules are approximately 80 nucleotides in length. Their secondary structure includes four short double-helical elements and three loops (D, anti-codon, and T loops). Lineage: Bacteria; Candidatus Tayloriibacteriota. The record is from RNAcentral. RNAcentral also lists the same sequence under 5 other names.